CUUGAUAGGGUUUUCCCUUCCUUUGAGAGGAGAACAUUCUCAAGGCAGAUUUUCAAGCUGAAGUCAUCCAGAACAAAAGCUGCUUGCCAGCUGUGGCCCAGCAGCCCAGCACCCCCCCCCCCUUCCCCCUGCAGCCCCAGUGCCAUUACCGCCUAAUGGGAGAGGGGUGUGAAAACUUCCGGCGAAACAUCUGGUCCGGGCCACUGUCAGCUGGCGAGACGGAGACCAGCGAGUUCCCCAUCUGAUUUCCUGAGACUGCUAGAGUGCCGAAGCCAAAGAGAAAUAGACUUCUGCUUGGCCUGUGCUUGUGAACUCAGGCCCGUGAGAAUGAGGACUCACUCUCUGCUUAGUAUAUGGACGAUCUGAAGGGCAGACUUCUAGCAACCUGGUGGUGGUCUGGACGUGUUCAUGUCUAAAACUUGUAGCAGAAGGCCUGUUGGAGUCUCCGCCUCUGAAGGAGGUGAGGGUUCCCUUUGUUCCCUCUCUGGAGUUACUCCGGAGCUAUACAGAUUAAGACCAGCAGAUGGCAUGCGGCGUCAGGAUCCUGGACACUUGGAACCUGGGAAAGCCAUCUUUUCUCUCCCAUAAAAUUCUGAACUUUAGUUAGGAAGAAAAGUGUGCUUAUUUCAGCUAUUAGCUAUUGUGCUUGAUAAUUUGGCUGUCUUUCUAGGAUGUCUAGGUUACCUGUGGUGGAAACAAAACUAAAUAUAACCCGGACACCAUUUUGCUUGCGUCUUAAACUGGAAACAGGCUUGUGCAGAACACUCUUGGGAGCCUCACCGGGUGGCGUGGAAUGGAACAGCAGGACAGGCAGAGGACAGAUUCCUGGAAGAAGAGAAUGAGAACUCCAUCCCUGUGUGUUGUGAGAGAAGAAGCAGAUGAUCAAUACAAUCCACUCCAUCCCCCUCCCCCAGCCCACAGCAAAGAUGCCUGGAAUUAGAGCGGAGUUUCCUAAUAUGCCUGCAUCAGGAAUAUAGCUGGAGAUAGCCGAAAGUAUCACUUCAGGGUUUGAAAAUAGAUCAUUUCCACACUUACCAGGCAAGAUUUAACUUCAUCUCCUUGUUUUCAGCUUAGCACCUUGGCCUGGGCCUCCUCUCGGCCUGGCAUCCCUGAGCAUGGGACUUCAGCAGAGAACAAAUGUCUAGUCUUCUAAGAAGAGAGAGAAGAGGACCGGAAGGGUGGAAAUAUAAAUGCCCGGCUGCGCAGAGGUGGAUGAGGGAACCCAGAGAUCUACCUUCUAUAGACCUUCAACCAAACUGUGUUUUAGCCUCAUGCUUCAUCUUCACUCUCUGCGGUAAGAACUUCCCAGCAUCCCUUGCAGCCAAAGAGCAGGCAUGUGCCCUAAGAUCCACCAAUCAAACACCCACAUGAAACUCUGACCCGGAAGUCAGCAACACGAGGAAACAGAUGGGAUUCUGAGCACUGUGCCUUCAUUUUGCAGGUGAAGGUGGUGGUGGCAGCAAUAUCCCUUCAGUAUGAGGUUCUGAGCUGCAUUCCUAGGGGUUUAGCCUUGAGCUUUUUCUUCUUCAGAUCUCCCGAUGCAUCUUAAUAAAUAACUUUUAAUGAAUUCUGCUUAAAGCAGCAUGGAUUUUAUAGUUUGCAAUUAAAAGAAAGAAAGAAAGAAAGAGAGAGAAAGAAAGAGAAAGAAAGAAAGCAAGCAGGCAGGCAAAAGAAAAGAAAAACUAAUAAACACAUUUGGUCAGUGAAAGUAGGGUAAAUCUAAAAACGUGGAAUUGGGUUUGGGGAUGGGAGCCACAGUUGGGUAGAGGUGAGGUAUCUUUUGUCAUGCACCAAGUGCUAGGGUUAGCCAUUACUGCUUUCCUAAAGGAGGUGCCCUCUGACUGUGGCCACAACCUAAGGUGGAGAAAAUCCCCAAGAUCUGGAGCUUUGAAAGGCUGACAAAGACAACCACUUCUUUAUCCCCCCAAAAAGCACUUAGAAACAAUGACAUCAAGCUAGUAGCCUCAGCUGGAAAUGCUAUGUGACUUUAUCUCAUCAAUUAAGAGUUCUCUGUAAGAGGGGCACCUGGAUGGCUCAGUCAGUUGAGUGUCUCUUGAUUUUUGACUCAGGUUGUGAUCCUGGGGUUGUGGCAUCAUGAGUUGGGCUCCAUGUGGAGUAUGGAGACUGCUUAGGAUUCUCUCUCUCUCUCUCUCUCUCUCUCUCUCCUCUGCCCUUCCCCCACUCGCACUCUUUCUCUGUCUCUCUAAAAUAAAAAUUAAAAAAAGAAAAGUUCUCAGAAAAAAACCUUGUUCAGACCCAUUGGAAAAUUUCAGGUUCAGGGGUGUCUCACCAUGAAAAGUUAUGAUUUCAAAUUGUCUCAAAGAAGCAGGCAUCGAAGAAGGAGUAGGAAGAGACAGAUCACUAAUGUCACAUGUAAAGAGAGGGAAUCUUCCUAUUUAAACACAGUCCACACAGGAUCUCUGGCUGUGUCUGUAUGCACAUGCAGUUGACAGGAAGUGGAAGAGAGGGCAACUAAGAUUUUUAGGAAACCCAUUGUCAAAGACACCUCAAGCCUGGCUGCCAACCGCCUGUGAUUUUAUCCUUAAAACUAAUCCUAGGCCACUAGUUCUGCACCAGCAUGAAGAAGUGUAUGGAAGGUGUGUAUUUUCCAAGAAAGCUAUGUUCUUUAUUACUCACCAAGCAUGAAUUAACAUGGGAUAAUUAGCAGGGAGUUCAUCCCAGAGGGCAGCUUCUAGAAUCACCAACCAAGUAAAUACCUGAGCUGGAAGUCAUCGCUAUUCUUAUUCAACAGGACUGAUUAUUUCCUUAUUGCUUAAUGACUGCCGAGGUCUCCCAUUCUUCUAUUUUUUAAACUGAAAUUUUACAAAUCUUUGGUUGUCCUGGUUUUUUUCUCCACUGUUUUUUAAUGGGUGUGUUGAGAGACAAUUUGUCUUGGAACUUUGGGCUUUCAAUAGAUAAUAGUUUGAAAAAUUAGUGUUACUAGAAGUCCUUACUAUUUAAAUAGAAGAUUCUUCAGAGGAAGAAAGACUAUAAUGAGAAGGAAUAUGUUCUGGACUCAAAAUAGUAGUCAGAUAUCUUAGCAAGGACUGAGAUCUUGAACAGUCUCCAGAUACCAGUAAGAAUCAUUGUAUUACCUUCUUUCUCAUCUGUUGGAUUUUUUUUUUCCUUAUUUUUACAUGUGGUGAAUGAACUGGGAGAGGAGAGGAGAAGUGGUCUAGAAAGGAUUAACAACCUACCAUUCAGUGACUCCCAGAGCUUUUUGCACAUGAAAUGGAUAAGGAAAAUGUCUGAGACAAACAAUCUGAAUUUUAAAUGCAGAUCAAAGUCCUUGCAGCAGCGAAGAAAGCCUAUGGGUAUUUCAUGGAGGUUUACCAAGAAAGCAGGCAUCUUUGCCUCCACUUCAUGAACUUAUAUUUUAAGAAGCUCAGCCAUUCCAGUCCAUGCAGAAAAAGACUCUCAAAGGAAUAUUUACAAUGUGGAUCUUAUAUUAAACAUUUGGUUUUAUAUGCUUAAAUAUUUAUAAAAGCAUAUGUGGAAUAAAUUUUAGUCCACAAACUGAA
This is a long non-coding RNA of Neofelis nebulosa (Clouded leopard), 3521 nucleotides long. RefSeq lists it as uncharacterized. NCBI's taxonomy places the organism in Eukaryota, Metazoa, Chordata, Mammalia, Carnivora, Felidae. The record is from RefSeq and is a predicted model, not a curated record. The transcript has 5 exons.